AUUUGAAAUCUAUUUAUUAAUUAAAUAAAUCGAGUUGUAAUCUGUAGAAGGCUGGAUGGUCGAAAUCUUUCUGAUUUAAAUUUUUUGGAAUAAAAUAUCAUAGAGGGUGAGAAUCCCGUGAUUAUCGGAAAAAUGAGAUCGCUUAAUUCACCUUUCGACGAGUCGAGUUGUUUGGGAAUGCAGCUCUAAAUGGGUGGUAAAUUUCAUCUAAAGCUAAAUAUCUGCCAAAGACCGAUAGCGAACAAGUAGAGUGAUCGAAAGAUGAAAAGCACUUUGAAAAGAGAGUUAAAAAGUACGUGAAAUUGCUGAAAGGGAAGCGCUUGCAAUUAGACUUGAUAAAUAAAUUCGGUCAAUUUAUUUUAAUUCGACUUAUUUUUUAUCUAUCAGGCCAGCAUCAGUUUGAUGGGAUUUAUAAAAUUAAAUAAAAUGUAGCAAUUAAUUUUAUUAAUUGUGUUAUGUUAUUUAAAUAAUAAUUCCACAUCNNNNNNNNAGACUGAGGUCU
RNAcentral lists this ribosomal RNA (502 nucleotides) under Gyalideopsis sp. Nelsen 2066a. Its description in RNAcentral is "LSU rRNA". It matches the Rfam family "Eukaryotic large subunit ribosomal RNA", at positions 113 to 609 of the family's 3401-position model. The record is from RNAcentral. Lineage: Eukaryota; Fungi; Ascomycota; Lecanoromycetes; Ostropales; Graphidaceae.